ACUGCAUGUGAGGAUUUGAGAGCAGCCAGGCUCCUCUGUCAGCCUGGUAGGCUGCAGUCCAUGGGGUCACUAAGAGUCAGACAUGACUGAGUGACUUCAAUUUCACUUUUCACUUUGAAGAAGGAAAUGGCAACCCACUCCAGUAUUCUUGCCUGGAGAAUACCAGGGACGGGGGAGCCUGGUGGGCUGCCAUCUAUGGGGUCGCACAGAGUCGGACAUGACUGAGGCGACUUAGCAGCAGCAGCAGCAGCAGGCUCCUCUGUCAGUGAUCAGAUCAUCCCCCCACCCCACUAGGGUGCCUGGAAUGCCACCACUGUGGUCCCCAGCACCUCCUGACUCUGAGUAUUUUAGACUUGGGUUAGGAGAUUCACUCCCGUUUUUAGAAGGCUCACCUUGUGCUAUGCUAAGAGUUUGGCAUGUAUUAUUCUUUGAGAGGAUCCAGCAAAGAAUUCAGAGGCUGGAGGAAUGGUGGAACUACAGGAUGAAAGGAGCCUGGUGCCGAGUCACCGUGCAGAGGAAGGCUGUGGCAAGUGCCUGCAUCGGGCUGUUAUUCGGCUAAAAAAUAAACGUCCAUCACUUUAAUCAACUCAAGUAUGGAGGUUGUUCGCCAUUGCCUCAGACCACCAUCAGACCACCGCUGAUACUGGAGUUGGAAAAGAAAGCUUCUCCUAGAAUCAGAGGCCCUCUGGUUGAAAAGAACCUUGGAUACCACAGAUGCAAAGCUCCCCUUACAACAUCUCCAUCCACAGUUCUCCCAACCAGACUUGCACACCCACCAUGACGGGGAGCUCACUCCCAGUGGAGGCGUCAUCUUCUGUCUUUGGACUGCCUUGGCUGCAGGAGGGAUUUCCUUACUCUGAGCCUUGCCUCAGCCCCCUGCAGAGCCCACCGGCUUCUCAGUCUUCACAUAGCUGAGAGUGAAGGCCAGGUGCUCCUGGGUGACCCCUUCUUUCUCUAGCCAACGAAUGUGCACUGAGGCCUCUGGCCUGCCAGGCCCUCUCCGGGCGGCUCACUGCCCUCUGUCCACCUUGCCUCUGGGCUGUGUUUUGUAGCACCCACACUGUGUUAGUCGUUUCCUGUGCACACAGUAGGUCUGAUUCUCAUCACCUCUGCCCCUGGCAUUGGUCUCAAUGGGAAGUGACCAUAGAAACAUUUCCCCAACCAUCACAUGUGCAGCUCUUGGCACCUUUUAUCUCAUUUCAUCCUCACCACAACCCUAAGGGAUAUGGGUCACCUUACUCCCAUUUUACCAAAGAGGAAACUGAGGUUCAGAGGGGUGACGCUAUUUGCCCCAAGGACUAUAACUAGAAAGCGUUAGCAUGCGUGCUAGUCACUUCAGUCAAGUCCGACUCUUUGCCACCCCAUGGACGGUAGCCCACCAGGCUCCUCUGUCCAUGAGAUUCUCCAGGCAAGAAUACUGGAGUGGGGUUGCCACACCCUCCUCCAGGGGGAUCUUCCCGACUCAGGGAUCGAACCCACGUCUCUU
Bos taurus (domestic cattle) is the source of this 1486-nucleotide long non-coding RNA. NCBI's taxonomy places the organism in Eukaryota, Metazoa, Chordata, Mammalia, Artiodactyla, Bovidae. The record is from Ensembl.